RNAcentral lists this ribosomal RNA (253 nucleotides) under uncultured bacterium. RNAcentral describes it as "partial 16S ribosomal RNA". It matches the Rfam family "Bacterial small subunit ribosomal RNA", at positions 524 to 776 of the family's 1533-position model. The record is from RNAcentral.
UACGAAGGGGGCGAGCGUUGUUCGGAAUUACUGGGCGUAAAGGGCGCGUAGGCGGCCGAUCAAGUUAGAUGUGAAAGUCCUGGGCUCAACCUGGGGACUGCAUUUGAUACUGAUUGGCUUGAAUCCGGGAGAGGAUAGCGGAAUUCCCAGUGUAGAGGUGAAAUUCGUAGAUAUUGGGAAGAACACCAGUGGCGAAGGCGGCUAUCUGGACCGGCAUUGACGCUGAGGCGCGAAAGCGUGGGGAGCAAACAGG